CGCGGGGUGGAGCAGUUUGGUAGCUCGUCGGGCUCAUAACCCGAAGGUCUCUGGUUCAAAUCCAGACCCCGCAACCA
Molecule: transfer RNA, 77 nt
Filed under: Deltaproteobacteria bacterium
Lineage: Bacteria; Pseudomonadati; Myxococcota; Myxococcia
Description: tRNA-Met
Rfam family: tRNA
About the family: Transfer RNA (tRNA) molecules are approximately 80 nucleotides in length. Their secondary structure includes four short double-helical elements and three loops (D, anti-codon, and T loops).
Source: RNAcentral